AUUGAACGCUGGCGGCAGGCCUAACACAUGCAAGUCGAGCGGAAGAAGGGUGCUUGCUCCUGGAUUCAGAGGCGGACGGGUGAGUAAUGCCUAGGAAUCUGCCUGGCUGUGGGGGAUAACGUCCGGAAACGGGCGCUAAUACUGCAUACGUCCUGAGGGAGAAAGUGGGGGAUCUUCGGACCUUAUGCUAUCAGAUGAGUCUAGGUCGGAUUAGCUAGUUGGUGGGGUAAAGGCCUACCAAGCCGACGAUCCGUAACUGGUCUGAGAGGAUGAUCAGUCACACUAGAACUGAGACACGGUCCUGACGCCUACGGGAGGCAGCAGUGGGGAAUAUGGGACAGUGGGCGGAAGCCUGAUCCAGCCAUGCCGCGUGUGUUAAGAAGGUCUUCGGAUUGUAAAGCACUUUAAGUUGGGAUGAAGGGCAGUAGGUUAAUACCUUGCUGUUUUGACGGUACCAACAGAAUAAGCACCGGCUAACUUCGUG
This 484-nucleotide ribosomal RNA is filed under the name uncultured bacterium. Its description in RNAcentral is "partial 16S ribosomal RNA". It matches the Rfam family "Bacterial small subunit ribosomal RNA", at positions 30 to 507 of the family's 1533-position model. The record is from RNAcentral.